This 429-nucleotide ribosomal RNA is filed under the name Actinomycetes bacterium. RNAcentral's name for it is "Actinobacteria bacterium partial 16S ribosomal RNA". It matches the Rfam family "Bacterial small subunit ribosomal RNA", at positions 355 to 776 of the family's 1533-position model. The record is from RNAcentral. Lineage: Bacteria; Bacillati; Actinomycetota; Actinomycetes.
UAGGGAAUCUUCCGCAAUGGGCGAAAGCCUGACGGAGCAACGCCGCGUGAGUGAUGAAGGUCUUCGGAUCGUAAAACUCUGUUAUUAGGGAAGAACAAAUGUGUAAGUAACUAUGCACGUCUUGACGGUACCUAAUCAGAAAGCCACGGCUAACUACGUGCCAGCAGCCGCGGUAAUACGUAGGUGGCAAGCGUUAUCCGGAAUUAUUGGGCGUAAAGAGCGCGUAGGCGGGUUUUUAAGUCUGAUGUGAAAGCCCACGGCUCAACCGUGGGGGGUCAUUGGAAACUGGAGAACUUGAGUGCAGAAGAGGAAAGUGGAAUUCCAUGUGUGGCGGUGAAAUGCGCAGAGAUAUGGAGGAACACCAGUGGCGAAGGCGACUUUUUGGUCUGUAACUGACGCUGAUGUGCGAAAGCGUGGGGAUCAAACAGG